Molecule: ribosomal RNA, 549 nt
Filed under: Triticum aestivum (bread wheat)
Lineage: Eukaryota; Viridiplantae; Streptophyta; Magnoliopsida; Poales; Poaceae
Description: partial small subunit ribosomal RNA
Source: RNAcentral
AUGAACGGCGCCAUGGGUUCCCGCGGCCGCAUCGACCCCGCGGAAGAGGCGCGCCACCGGCAGGUGAUGGGCGGCCUCGGCGUGUACGACGCCGACUGGGCGCUGGCCAAGGCGCUGGAGCAAUCCGACGUCCAGCCGGGGCAGAACAGGCUGCUCCUCACCAAGGAGCAGGUGCGGGACGGCCCCAUCCCCAAGCUCUUCCCGGAGCUGGAGGAGCUCCGCGGCGACGGCCUGAACGCCGAGCACCGGGUCGCGGUCAAGGUCCUCGACGCCGACGGCCGCGAGAAGGACGCGCAACUCCGCUACCUCAACUCCAACAAGGCGUACCGGGUCAUGGGGUCCGACUGGAGGCGGCUCGUGCAGGAGAGCGGCAUGUGCAAGGGAGACCGCCUCGAUCUGUACGCCUGCAGGCGCGGCGACGGCGACCGCUGCCUCUUCGUGUUCAGGAGCCAGGGCGGUGGCGCCGGCGAUAUGUCCCGGAGCAAUGGUGGAGACGGCCGGGUUCUGCGGCGGGUCACGUCGUCAAUGGCGGCCAUGCUGAUAGAGUGA